RNAcentral lists this ribosomal RNA (339 nucleotides) under Megasphaera elsdenii. RNAcentral's name for it is "bacterial SSU rRNA". It matches the Rfam family "Bacterial small subunit ribosomal RNA", at positions 1 to 319 of the family's 1533-position model. Lineage: Bacteria; Bacillati; Bacillota; Negativicutes; Veillonellales; Veillonellaceae. The record is from RNAcentral.
UCAUGGAGAGUUUGAUCCUGGCUCAGGACGAACGCUGGCGGCGUGCUUAACACAUGCAAGUCGAACGAGAAGAGAUGAGAAGCUUGCUUCUUAUUGAUUCGAGUGGCAAACGGGUGAGUAACGCGUAAGCAACCUGCCCUUCAGAUGGGGACAACAGCUGGAAACGGCUGCUAAUACCGAAUACGUUCUUUUUGUCGCAUGGCAGAGGGAAGAAAGGGAGGCUCUUCGGAGCUUUCGCUGAAGGAGGGGCUUGCGUCUGAUUAGCUAGUUGGAGGGGUAACGGCCCACCAAGGCGACGAUCAGUAGCCGGUCUGAGAGGAUGAACGGCCACAUUGGGAC